GAGGGAUAACACGUCUGGACUACAAGCAGGGGUGAAAAUUUAAGGACAUAGAAAAUGAUGCAUCAAUAAAUAGUUAUGGAGAGUGUGCUAGGAGAGCUGGGUUGAUGGUGUGCCUGGGGCAGCGUCAGCACUACAUGGAUGCUUGCUGCAUGGUGGUGCUGACAGCCUGAGUGUCCCAGGAACUGUGACACUCCCAUCAGUCUUUGUAGAUUAGAAACAUUAACCCUGGCAUCCUCCCCAGUGCUUUCCCUGGGAUGUUCAAAGAGGAGGCUCCAUCAUUCGACUGCGGUCACUGACAUCCAUGCCGGAGAAGCCUGACAAAGCUGAUGCCAUCUUUGUCACCAUGAGAAAGAGUCAGUACCAAGAAAAGAAGCCAGAGAGGAGGAGGAAGAAGAACCAGU
Erinaceus europaeus (western European hedgehog) is the source of this 401-nucleotide long non-coding RNA. RefSeq lists it as uncharacterized. The record is from RefSeq and is a predicted model, not a curated record. Lineage: Eukaryota; Metazoa; Chordata; Mammalia; Eulipotyphla; Erinaceidae. The transcript has 3 exons.